GUGAUACAAAUGUUCCAUAAAAACUUCUGCUUUGAUUAGUAAUCUAGAAACAUGCCAGCUUUGACACACGACAGCAGGACAAAGAAAAAUGUGAGGUGGCUAUUAAUGACUGCCCAAAAAAGUUGAGGCAAGUUUCGUUUCCAGUGUAAUUGCAUUAAAUUUGCAUGACUGGAAACUUACCAAAUGAUCUUUUGAAACCUGGC
Molecule: non-coding RNA, 203 nt
Organism: Pelobates cultripes (western spadefoot toad)
Lineage: Eukaryota; Metazoa; Chordata; Amphibia; Anura; Pelobatidae
Source: the annotation of a GenBank genome assembly